GCAAACUUGGUCAUUUAGAGGAAGUAAAAGUCGUAACAAGGUUUCCGUAGGUGAACCUGCGGAAGGAUCAUCAAAGGGGGGAGGGGUGAGGGGUCUGAGGAGGAAUCUGAGGAGGAAUCUGAGGAUCCCUUGCCCAACCAAUCUUGUGUGAACUGUAGCGAGCAUACGCGUGGGUGUGUUGGUGGGGAGAAGUAUUUCUUGCCCACCGCCAUCACGCUUGCACAACUAUUCUGUUUAUCUUGUCUAACCUGUCGCAAAUAACAACACAACUUUUAACAAUGGAUCUCUUGGCUCUCGCAUCGAUGAAGAACGCAGC
RNAcentral lists this unclassified non-coding RNA (316 nucleotides) under uncultured fungus. RNAcentral's name for it is "partial contains small subunit ribosomal RNA, internal transcribed spacer 1, and 5.8S ribosomal RNA". The stretch from base 1 to 73 matches the Rfam family "Eukaryotic small subunit ribosomal RNA", at positions 1759 to 1831 of the family's 1831-position model. The record is from RNAcentral. Lineage: Eukaryota; Fungi.